CCAAAAGAUUCUGAUUUAAUGGAUAAAACAUGUGACCAUGUAAUUUGAAUACAUAAUGAACAAUAAAAACACUCCUCCAUCUAUUAAUACCAGACACACACCCACACUUUCUACAACAAUAACCCACCUCUCAAAUACCCACACGAAUCCACUGCUAAAUACCCUCACCCUCGACUUCUCUCUCCCUCACCUUCAAUAAGCAGACACCAAACAAGCACCCCCACUCUCUCUCUUUUUCAAGAUUAGCAAACACAGGAGCCAUCAAGCUUCUCCGGCGUCCCGAUUUCCGGCGAUAUACGCCCCCCCCCAUUUCGAGCAACAAAACGAGCCACCACCACCACCACUGUUCGGUGGUGGUGAACGGCGGCAGCGGAACCAGAAGAGAGAGAAACGAGGAGAGAGAGAGACUCGGGAGGAGAGAGAGAGCUCGGGAGAGGAGAGAGAAACGAGAGAGAGAAAGCGCCGGAGAAGGAGCAGCACCGCCGUGAGCGGCGGUGGCAGUGGAGUGCGGCGGUGGUUGCUUCUCGGACCGGUGGUCCUUGACUCGGACCGGCGGUCCUUGUCUCGGUCCGACGAAUAUUCCGAGAAGAUGAUGAUGAUGUUGAAUAUGGUGGUGGUCGACGACGGCAUGACCACCGGAGUCACCAGAACCGGCGACGGCGACAGAGGUGAUGGUUAUUCGGUUCAGGUUCGGUUUCAUUUCGAGUUCGGGUAAACAUGAUUCAGUUUAGGCUCGGUUCUGACCUAUUGAUUUCAGUUUUGGUUCGGUUCAAUAUAUUUGAUUUCAAGUCAAAUGGGUCGGCUCAUUCUCAGGUUCGAGUUAUGAAGUCAACAAGACAACAUGGAUUAGGUUCUGGUUCGGUCAGAUGGCUCGGUUCGGUUGACUCGGUCAACUCACCGAGUCAACCGAGUCAACUCAGUCAACAGAUGGGUUCGGGUUCGACUCAGUGCACUUCGCUUCGAUUCAGUCCAACUCGGUUUCGACUCGGUAUAUUUUGGUCAACUCGGUCAACCUGGUCAACUCAGCGAGUCGACUCGGUCAACUCAGUUGACCCGGUCGACUCAGUCAACAUUUUUGGCGUUACAACAUUAGAAAUUUGAAUGCACGCUAGCGAGUCUCGUCUUGGAAACGACAUCACGAAG
This is an RNA transcript of Helianthus annuus (common sunflower), 1143 nucleotides long. RefSeq lists it as uncharacterized. The transcript is spliced from 2 exons. The record is from RefSeq and is a predicted model, not a curated record. NCBI's taxonomy places the organism in Eukaryota, Viridiplantae, Streptophyta, Magnoliopsida, Asterales, Asteraceae.